Molecule: long non-coding RNA, 4562 nt
Filed under: Homo sapiens (human)
Lineage: Eukaryota; Metazoa; Chordata; Mammalia; Primates; Hominidae
Description: HSALNT0139980
Source: RNAcentral
GUCCAUGGGAUGGUGUUUAAACAAAUUUAUUUUAAAUUUCAGAGGACAGAUUACAUUAGUUGACAUCAGCAUUACACUCACCUGGUCAUUCUGUCUCUUUAAAACAGUACUGUGAAGUUGAUUGGAAAUUUCAUCUUCUCCCUAUUUGAGACUCAUUUGAUAUUAUUUGCUGCUUCACCACUCAGUGUUAGUGUCCCUGAGGCCUGCCUUGCACUACUUUCUCUAUCUAAAAUAUUCACAUGCCUGUAACUGAAUUCAAGGAAAACAAAGCCUGGGGCUAGAAGGAAGUGUAGGAAUCCAAGGAGAAAUAUCCGUGGUAGAUUUCAAUUAAGAAGCUCUGGCAUUAAGCAAAAUAGGUGAAGAAGCUUUACACGUCGUUUCCCUUUUGAGUCGCUCAGCCAAAUUCAUCAGUGUAAAGGAAGAGUUAAAGAAGUACUCAAACCCAAGAGCCCUUUAAAGAAACAACAUAGGAGUCAGUGAGUGAGUGGGGGAAGCAGCCAAGAUGGACAAACAAGAACAGCUCUGGUCUACAGCUCCCAGCAUGAGCGACGCAGAAGACAGGUGAUUCCUGCAUUUCCAUCUGAGGAAGGACCUCAGGAAACCUGCCCAGCAAUCAUAAAUGCUGCUUUCAUCCUGCAAGUGAUCUUACUUUGCAUGCCACUGAGCCACAGGUUCAUGAGCAAGAGAGUAGAAGGGCUCAGGACUUUCAGUUUAUACAGACUUCGUCCUGUGUGGCUGUGGACUACAAAUAUGCCCCUCUAGCAGCUUUCACCUAACUGGGCUCAGGGCAGAGCCUUUUCUCAUAGUCCAGAACUGACUACUCUGGCUUGUCUGCCUCUGUUGCUGGGAUGCUGUUACUCUGUGUAGGAAGCAGGAAUUGAGCACUAUCCUUCAUGCAAGAACUAGCUGCACAAACUCACUUUCAACUGGGAUAGAACUGCCACAGGAAGGGCUGGAAUGGCUUUCUCCAAGUGCAUACAUCCACCCCCAGUGAGAAGAGUCUCUGCUGUGUUUGCAACAGUGAACAAGGAAAGCAUGGAGAUGACCCCGUCUCCUUGCCCUUCUGUGUCAACAAUUCAUAAAACAUUAUGAUAAUCAUAUGAGGAGGAGGAAACUAAAAACUAAACAAAUGAACCUUUGUUAUCAUCUGCUUCAAAGAUACUACCAAAAAAUUACUAAGAAAGAUGAAUGAAUUCAGUAAAUAACUUCACAAGUUUGUAUUUAGUGGUUUGCAAUACUUAUCACUGCUUCUCAAUCACCUUAAAGAUAUCUCUGUGACAGUUGAAAAAUAUACACCUGAACUAGUUAAUACUUUUAAAUGUUCUGCCUUAAUUCAUUAUCUUCAUACCAGAUAUAUGUUAUAUAUAAUAUAUUAUUGAAUUUAAUUUUAUUGAGAUUAUUUUUACUACAUUUUGUUAUUUGCUGUCUCUUCAGUGGCUUCCUUUACCCUCUAUCCAGAUUAAAGACAAUCAUAGUAUUUUAUCUCUAGGGCAAGAAUUUACGUAAUUUAAAUAAAGUAAUUUUUAAAUUUUUCUCACACCAAUGAUUCUGUGUUUAAGUAUUGUGUUAUGCGCUGUUAAUUUUCAUCUUUUCUUUAUAAUGUGUUUUAAUCUAUUUUCAAUGUAAGCUUGAAAGCACCAAAAAAUAUUGAUGUUUCAUGUCUUCCAGGACAUUCCUACAUUGAUUGUCAAGGUGUUGAAAUUUCCACCAUGUAGUUUUUUCUCCACACUCACAGAGAGGCUCACGGUAAACCUCCUAAAGCAUCUUAUUAAAAGAGAAACGCUACAGCCAUAGUCACAGAUGAGCUCUGGUGACUAAAAUCCCACCUACCACUACUUGACUGUUGCGGUCCCUGAAGCCUACAAAAUCGCAGAAUGAUUGCUGGUUCUCAAACCUCUAGGUUACUUUAUGAUUGGGAAUUUUACAUAUAUCCAUUGCCUGAAAUGCCCUUAGCAUCUAUUACCCUUUGAGACUUAGCUUCAAUAUCAAGUAAUGAAGCCUUUCUUAAGUACCUAGAGAAAAUCAGUUUUCCGGUCUUUCAUGCUACCUUUGUACACACAGCUUUCUGUUGUUACCUUUUCAAAUCAAUCAUUUCACCAUUAUUUCUCUAUGCAUUCAUUCAUUAUUUCAACAAAUAUUUAUCGGGUGUUUAAUAUGUUUAUAGCCAUGUGCUAAGCACUGAGGUUAUACUUUGUCGUGACUCCAUGGUUAAACUCCACAGGGACAAGAUCCACACAAAUAUUCUGUGUGAAGGACACAUAAAUAGUUUGGGGGUACAUCAUGCCUAUGACUGAUAUGAAGAAGGUGUAAACAAAUGUAUAUUGAAUUAAAGAAUACCUUAAAUAUUUGUUUGUAAGAGAUAUAGUUUUAGGAUUUGUUACAAUAGUUAGAAAAGGGUUUCAUGAAUAUGGAAUGAAAGCUUAGACUGCAACUGUUUUACAAAGCGCUUUUAAAAGUAACUACUAAAAUAAUCUAGUAACACUUUUAGAGUCAUUUAGAAAAGAAUAAAAUAAUCUUAGCCUAGCUAACAGGAUGUUCCAAUAAAACUAUUGUGAAGUGGUAGGACUCUUGAUUAUGGUGAGAAUGGGUCAGAAUGGAUGAAUCAACACAUUUGUGUAAAGAAUAAUAUCUAGAAAUGAUGACAAUGUAUAUUUGAAAGAAAAGAGUAUUAAAAAUGUCUUUAAAUUUUCCAAUUUGUUGUACUCAUAGGAAAAUAGGAGGUGAAAAUGAAAUACUUAGAGAUGGUGUCUUAAUUUAUUUCAAGAAUUUGAGGUAAAAAGGAACUGCUCUGCCCUGUUAAUAUGUGAGAUGAGCAAUUUAGGAGGGAGGUCAGACUGGAAAAGUGAAUUUACUGAACACCAUGAUAGUCAUGUUGUUUAAUGACUUAAGAAUAGACAGUAAAAGAGGUUCUCCUAUCAUAGCCCUACAUCCUCUGGAAAUACAUGCUACAUUAAAAUUUAUAUUUCUAUUUCCAUAUGCUUGGUAUGACUAAUGGCAGAAACUGUGAAGAAUCCUAGGAGAAAAAUGGUCUGCAUUUGCUUCAGACUUAUUGCAAAGUGUAUGUAUGAAGGAAAACAUUACUUCUAAUUCUACCAGACCAUCACCUGCAUGAGUCCCUGUGAUGCUUCCCAAAUCCAUCCAAAUGCUUAACUGAAGCUUGAAUUUAUUAUUUUCAAGUUCGAUGUAAAAGUUCUUCUUUUUAAACUUGACACUGUAUACUGUGGCUUAAAUAUUUAAGCAAGGCUCUUUCGAAGAUUGAGGAAGAAACACUCACACAUCAAAAGUAUCUAAUGUUUAAUUCAGCGAGGUAAGCUUUCUCAAACUCUGAAGCUUAUGUGAAGCUGUUUGGAAUUUUUUCAAAGGUCUUUUAUCUCUAAAUCAAAACAGAAUUUUUUUUAAAAAAAUUAUAAUAAUUCUUCAAAACAGAAAUAACUUCUGUCAGAGUUCUUUGGUUUCUACCUAAAAGAAACAGUUACGUGGCAAUUGUUUAUUUAUUUCUACAUGAACCCAACAUGUUCAAAUUCUAAAAGAUUUAGACAAGCUUGCUUCAGUCAUACAUAAAGAUUUUGAAAACUUAUUAUUCAAGCCAACUAAGAUUCUUGCUAGAAAACUCAAACAAAGAACAAUAAUUGGUUUGAAAACUGCAGAAUAUACUUUGUAGAUUAUGACUCUUCAUUGAUAAACAGAUAAGUAAACACCCACAAAUCAAUAUGUAAACAAUAGAACUGGCUAUUAAGUUUUUGCUAAAAGAUCUUCCUUGAGAGAGUUUAUAGAAUUUGCUAAUUUUUUCUUUUUUGUCUUAUUUAAUGUUAGUUAUCAAAGCCAAGUCUUCCCAGACCCUUACUAAUUAAUCUCAACAAUUUGUUUUUGAAAUUUUGAAAACAUAGAAAUAUUAGGAGAAUCUCCACUGGAGUGAUUCAAGAGAGUUCUAAAACAUGGAGACUGACAAAAACAUUCAGAUAGAAAUCUGCAGUUAAUAGUAAUAAAAUGACGGCAGUCACUGUGAUGAUAUGAUAAUUGUGAUGAUUAGGCUGCUGGUUUGGAAUCCUGGAUAAAUCUCUUAAACUAGCUUUAUGGCUUUUAGCAAGUUAUGUAACCUUUGAAAUAUUCACCUGGUUUUUAAAACCACAUUCUGUGGAUGUAAGAUCUAAAUAAGAUAACCCAUAUAAAUAAUGUAGUAUGUCUCGCACAUACUAAGCGCAUGCUAAGACUUUCCCCAUGCUUUCUUUUUUUUGGCUUCUUUUAUUAUUAUUAUUAUUAUUAUACUUUAAAUUCUAGGGUACACUUGCACAACAUCCAUGUUUUAAGUCUCCACCCACUUGUCCUUGAAAAUUCUAAUCUCUUUUGUUUACCAAGGCCAGUGAUAAUGAAGUCUUAUGAUAAAACCUGUUCCUAUAACAUUCCUUCUAGUCAUUACACAUUUUAAUCUCUCGUUUAUUAAGUUAGGUGCCUGUAAUAAUAACAUUUUCUAGAAUAUUUUUUACUGCUUUUAGCAUGGCUAACUUUUUUCACCUUUCCUUCAGUAAAUGCUGCCUCAUUUUAAGGUUUAUUCUGAACACCCA